RNAcentral lists this ribosomal RNA (396 nucleotides) under Psammophylax variabilis. RNAcentral's name for it is "partial 16S ribosomal RNA". It matches the Rfam family "Bacterial large subunit ribosomal RNA", at positions 1962 to 2573 of the family's 2925-position model. The record is from RNAcentral. Lineage: Eukaryota; Metazoa; Chordata; Lepidosauria; Squamata.
UAAUCACUUGUCUAUUAACUGUAGACCUGUAUGAAAGGCAAAAUGAGGGUCUAACUGUCUCUUAUAAUUAAUCAAUUAAACUGAUCUCCCAGUACAAAAGCUGGAAUACACUCAUAAGACCAGAAGACCCUGUGAAGCUUUAACUAAACUAUCAAACCUCAUGAUAACUAGUUUCGGUUGGGGCGACCUUGGAAAAAAAAAGAACUUCCAAACACAAUAGGCUAAACCCACUAAACAGGCCGACAGGCCAAACAACGACCCAGCACCGCUGAUUAAUGAAACAAGUUACUCCAGGGAUAACAGCGCCAUCUUCUUCAAGAGCCCAUAUCAAAAAGAAGGUUUACGACCUCGAUGUUGGAUCAGGACAUCCUAAUGGUGCAGCAGCUAUUAAGGGUU